Long non-coding RNA from Canis lupus familiaris (dog), 432 nucleotides. RefSeq lists it as uncharacterized. The transcript is spliced from 4 exons. NCBI's taxonomy places the organism in Eukaryota, Metazoa, Chordata, Mammalia, Carnivora, Canidae. The record is from RefSeq and is a predicted model, not a curated record.
UCUUAACCACACACUCACACCCCGCUGGCACCACUGACUACAAGACACACAUUUUCUCACAUUUAAACAUCUCUGAAGUUGAGCCCCACCUAUAAUCAGGGGCUCCUGGACGGCAUGAAGCACGGCGGGUAAAAGGCAUUCGCAACACCGAGUGCCGUAUUUGGCACACAAUACGACCGCUGAGGCUCGACCGACCGCUGAGGCUCGAUGGCACAGGAGACAGGUACUGUCCACUAUGGCAACAUGUGGUGUGAAACUGGAAAUUAAGGUUUGACGUUAUGCGACAGCCUGGACACAUCAAGGGCGUUAUGCUAGGCUCCAGAGAAUGAAGCCCAACAUAGGACCUGAACUCAUGACCCUGAGAUCAGGCAUUAGCUGAGAUCAAGAGUUAGACACCCAACCAACUGAGCCACCCAAGUGUCCCAAUAAUAC